This 116-nucleotide ribosomal RNA is filed under the name uncultured bacterium. Its description in RNAcentral is "partial 16S ribosomal RNA". It matches the Rfam family "Bacterial small subunit ribosomal RNA", at positions 1358 to 1482 of the family's 1533-position model. The record is from RNAcentral.
CGUGGUGAAUACGUUCCCGGACCUUGUACACACCGCCCGUCAAGCCAUGGAAGCUGGGUGUACCUAAAGUCGGUAACCGUAAGGAGCCGCCUAGGGUAAAACUAGUAACUGGGGCU